UUUGGGUUCGGUUGGGUUUGGGUUAUUUGGGUCUAAACAAUCUUGAACCAAAGUCAACCCAAAUUAGUAUGGUUUGGUUUAUGAUCGGUUUAGUUCAGUUUUAUUUCGGUUCGGUUUUAGUUUGGUUUGGUUCGUGUUUGGUUCAGUUUAAUUUGGUUUUGUUUGUAUUUUUCAGUUCAACCGAGUUAAUUUUAUAGUUUUGUUCUAGUUCAAUUACAAAAAUAUGAUUUAUAAAAACCUAAACAAAUCAUCAUUUGAUACUAAAUCAUUAUUUUUUUCAUAUUUAAACGUAAAACCAAACAUCACAAUAAAUAUGUAGAAAAUGUAAUUCAAUAAU
RNAcentral lists this long non-coding RNA (337 nucleotides) under Brassica napus (rape). RNAcentral's name for it is "long non-coding RNA (BNAP_LNC007050)". The record is from RNAcentral. Lineage: Eukaryota; Viridiplantae; Streptophyta; Magnoliopsida; Brassicales; Brassicaceae.